This 465-nucleotide ribosomal RNA is filed under the name uncultured bacterium. Its description in RNAcentral is "bacterial SSU rRNA". It matches the Rfam family "Bacterial small subunit ribosomal RNA", at positions 917 to 1382 of the family's 1533-position model. The record is from RNAcentral.
GGGCCCGCACAAGCGGUGGAGCAUGUGGUUUAAUUCGACGCAACGCGAAGAACCUUACCCAGACUUGACAUGCAUUAGACGGGUGUGGAAACACACCUUCCCUUCGGGGCUGGUGCACAGGUGCUGCAUGGCUGUCGUCAGCUCGUGUCGUGAGAUGUUGGGUUAAGUCCCGCAACGAGCGCAACCCUUGUCCUUAGUUGCUAACGGGUAAUGCCGAGCACUCUAAGGAGACUGCCGGUGAUAAACCGGAGGAAGGUGGGGAUGACGUCAAGUCCUCAUGGCCCUUACGUCUGGGGCUACACACGUGCUACAAUGGCCGGUACAAAGGGUUCCGAUACCGCGAGGUGGAGGCAAUCCCAAAAAACCGGUCUCAGUUCGGAUUGCAGUCUGCAACUCGACUGCAUGAAGUCGGAAUCGCUAGUAAUCGCUGAUCAGCAGGCAGCGGUGAAUACGUUCCCGGGCCUU